GAUGAGGUGGCCGAGUGGUUAAGGUGAUGGACUGUUAAUCCAUUGUACUCUACACGCAUGGGUUCGAAUCCCAUCCUUGUCG
Molecule: transfer RNA, 82 nt
Filed under: Alligator sinensis (Chinese alligator)
Lineage: Eukaryota; Metazoa; Chordata; Crocodylia; Alligatoridae
Rfam family: tRNA
About the family: Transfer RNA (tRNA) molecules are approximately 80 nucleotides in length. Their secondary structure includes four short double-helical elements and three loops (D, anti-codon, and T loops).
Source: Rfam by way of RNAcentral